AAAGUCGUAACAAGGUUUCCGUAGGUGAACCUGCGGAAGGAUCAUUAACGAGAGAUGGGGUGCCCUCGUGGCCCCCGACCUCCCAACCCUUUGUCUACCUACCUAUUGUUGCUUUGGUGGGGCGUGGCCGUCAGGCCCCGCCGGCCCUUAUUGGGCUGGUGUGUCCCCGCCAAAGGAUCAUAAACUAUUGCUUUAUUAAAACAAGUCUGAUUUAAAAAAAAUUUAAUAGCGAAAAAACUUUCAACAACGGAUCUCUUGGUUCUG
This 264-nucleotide unclassified non-coding RNA is filed under the name Ascomycota sp. RNAcentral describes it as "partial contains small subunit ribosomal RNA, internal transcribed spacer 1, and 5.8S ribosomal RNA". The stretch from base 1 to 47 matches the Rfam family "Eukaryotic small subunit ribosomal RNA", at positions 1785 to 1831 of the family's 1831-position model. The record is from RNAcentral. Lineage: Eukaryota; Fungi; Ascomycota.